AACCUCCGCAAUGUGAGAAAUCGCGACGGGGGGAUCCCAAGUGCCAUUCUUAACGGGAUGGCUUUUCAUUAGUGUAAAGAGCUUUUGGAAUAAGAGCUGGGCAAGACCGGUGCCAGCCGCCGCGGUAACACCGGCAGCUCUAGUGGUAACAAUUUUUAUUGGGCCUAAAGCGUCCGUAGCCGGUUUAAUAAGUCUCUGGUGAAAUCCUGUAGCUUAACUGUGGGAAUUGCUGGAGAUACUAUUAGACUUGAGAUCGGGAGAGGUUAGAGGUACUCCCAGGGCAGAGGUGAAAUUCUGUAAUCCUGGGAGGACCGCCUGUUGCGAAGGCGUCUAACUGGAACGGUUCUGACGGUGAGGGACGAAAGUUAGGGGCGCGAACCGGAUUGGAUACCCGGGUAGUCCUAACUGUAAACGAUGCGGACUUGGUGUUGGGGUGGCUUUGAGCUGCUCCAGUGCCGAAGGAAGCUGUUAAGUCCGCCGCCUGGGAAGUACGGUCGCAAGACUGAAACUUAAAGGAAUU
This 520-nucleotide ribosomal RNA is filed under the name uncultured bacterium. Its description in RNAcentral is "bacterial SSU rRNA". It matches the Rfam family "Archaeal small subunit ribosomal RNA", at positions 345 to 866 of the family's 1478-position model. The record is from RNAcentral.